AGAAAAGGAAGGCACAAGAAAAAGACACAAGAAGAAGAAAAGACGAGAUACAAGAAUGUGUAGAAGAUAGAGAAAAAAAUGAAAGAAGAAAAAGAUGCGAUGUAAAGAAAGAAAAUACAAAAUAAACACAAAAACUACAAUAAUAAAGAAAAAGUAUAUAGACACGAAAGAAUGAAAGGAAGGAAGGAAAAGGGUGGUGUGGUGGUAAAAAAAUACAUAGGAUCAAAGAAAAAAUAAAGAAGGAAAGACAAAAAAUGUAAUAGAAACAAUACAAAAUGAAAAAAAGAACGAAAUUGAAGAAGUUUAACUGGUUUGUUUAACAAUACUGAAGUAGUUUAAAAUAUAUCUUUAAAAAAACUUGUGGCAGACGAUCCGACUCGGAGGUCCAGACGACAUUUUGUGGUGGGGCAGACGACACAUAUCUCUUCGUUUUUUAUGUUUUAGAAGACAGAAACAAACUCUACAAUAUCUAUGUUGAAAUACUCCAUACACCACCACCACCACCACUACCACCACCACCGCCACCACCGCCGCCACCACAGCCCAUAGCUGUCGUAUGUUAUUGUCAUCGCUGUCGGCGCCUUCUUAGGUAUUAUUGGAUAUUACAUAUUACCGAAGCUGAAAACUUGCGUGAACAACAAAAGCAGCAACAUUGAGACCACCAGGUAUAUUAACAGCAGCGUCAACAGCUAUAACAACAACAGUAACAACAAUAAUAACGACAACAACAACAGCAACAGAAAUAUUUGCAACAUUACUGUGAACUACAUAUAUAUAUAUACUAAAAAGAACAGAAGUGCUACCACCACCACCACCACCAACAGCAACAAGAAACACCAUUAACAGCAGCAGCACCAUCCCCCGCCACCAUCAGUACCGACAAGAGUAACUGCAAGGGGUUAAUUACAUCGACAACAAAUAAGGACAACAUCGUUCACCAGGAACACUUUACAUCAACGCACCAACAACAACAUUAACAGACGUUGCAACCGCAAACAUCAACGAUUGAAAACGAAACAAAAAAAAAACAAAAACAAAAAGAAAUACCCCCCCCCCUCACCCGAAAAAACAAAAGAAAAUAAACAAAAA
Molecule: long non-coding RNA, 1089 nt
Organism: Octopus bimaculoides (California two-spot octopus)
Lineage: Eukaryota; Metazoa; Mollusca; Cephalopoda; Octopoda; Octopodidae
Source: RefSeq, a predicted model, not a curated record